This 72-nucleotide transfer RNA is filed under the name Capra hircus (goat). It matches the Rfam family "tRNA". Rfam says of the family: Transfer RNA (tRNA) molecules are approximately 80 nucleotides in length. RNAcentral also lists the same sequence under 5 other names. The record is from Rfam by way of RNAcentral. Lineage: Eukaryota; Metazoa; Chordata; Mammalia; Artiodactyla; Bovidae.
UCCCUGAUAACUCAGUUGGUAAAGAAUCUGCCUGCAAUGCAGGAGACCUGGGUUUGAUCCCUGGGUUGGGAA